GCUGACACUACUGCUGCUGGAUCCUGACCCCAGGAUGCAACCACCUCUCCUUUGCAGCAAUUUGCAAUCUGCUGAUUGCAAGGGACCCCAGGGAGCAAGUCGAUGACCGCUGGAGUCCUCUUGCAGCAGUGAGGUAUGUUCCCCUUGAACUUGAAGCAGUCACCUUUUUCAGUUGUCUGGGCACCCACCAAAGACCAAAUCACCUCUGUCUUUGCCCAUGUCCAUCCUAUGGUCCACCCAGGGUUCAUGAUGUGCUGGUAUAUUUGGAAAUUGUUCAUCGUCGCCACCGCCAAAGAAGUGAACAUUAGAAUCAGUAUCAGUGUCACUACAUUGCUUAUUACUAUGUCGGAUGGGUUCUUCGAUUGAAUUUCCUAUAGUAUGUUCUUGAUAUUUAUUCCUUGUUGAUUCAAAGUAGUUUGGUUUUCUUGCACUUUUUUGCUAAGCAUUGGUAUUUUCUGAUCUGAUUUCAUAAGACUAAAUUGUUGUAAAUGUUCUAAAUUAUUGCCUUAAUAGACACAAACAAGACAGGUGAUGCUUGUAGAGAUUAGUUUUUGUUAAGCCAUCUGGUAAGAUUUAAAAGUUGUUGAUAAUUGACUGAGUUUUUUUUUUUUGAUGCAAAAGUAGAAUCAGGGAGAAAAUGGUCACCACUGCAGUCUAACGGACAAUUAAUGAAAUAUUCUCAGCAUUUACUAAUUAAUCACUAAUGAUUUGAUAAGUUGAUAACAAAAUAAUAUCUAUUAUAUGUACAGUUCUUUGCAGAAAUAUUUGAAUUUCUCCAGAUUUAUUCAUGAAAUACAAGGAACUAGUGAAUAGUUGAUGAUAAUUUUGGAAUUGCUUGGAUCUUUGAUGCACAUAAAAAAAGAUAUACCAGCUAUUUUAACAUCUAUCUACUUCAAUAUUUCUGAACCAUUUGGGGACUUUUCAAUUCUUACUUUAGAUUCCAAUUUCAAAAUUUUACACUCAACAAUUUCUUCCUGAAUUCCAAACUUUUACGUUUUAAUUCUGCUUCUUGGAUGAUACAAUUCCUUCAGAAAAAAAUAUUAUCAAAUUAAUCUUAGAAUUCCACUAUGACAAUAAAACUAGAACAAUGUUCUGUCAAAAAGCAAAUUCAGAAUUCCACCGUGACCUUACCACAUAUUAAUCUGGAGUCCAUGAAAUCGCAUCCCAUUUUAUCGGGAUGUUGCCAUUUGGAUCCCAUGGAUCAUAUGCCACUAAUUGAAAAAAUACAAUGAAAGUAAUAAAUAAUAAAAAUUGAAGCAAAAAUUAAUACUUCAAAGCAUUUUGAACAAAAUUGGAUCAGAAAAAAACCUGCAUGAUUGAACAUCAUGCCACGGAGGCAAACUGACAUAACAAAUCCCAAUUUCCUGAACAAGCAGCAUGGGCACUGCCUGAUGACAAAACAUUCACUUCCCAUAAAAUUUUCUUCUUGCCUCCAGUUGCUGGGUUUGUUUAGCUCCAUUCUCACCCAAGCUAUGAGCUUUCUUACAAAUGAUUUAACAGUCUGGGAGGUCAGAGGAGGAGGAAGGGGCUUGUGGCUCCUAAAGAGAUGAAGGGAUCGAUCGGAGGAGAAAUCAUCGAUUAGAGUGAUGGCUCACCUACUGUUUUGUUGGGCACUUAAAAAAAAAAAACUCUCAUCAAUCUCUGCUACCUCCUUCUCUCUUCCUUGUCUGAUUUUCUUCUACUUUAAUUCAUCUGUUCUGAAGCUGUGUUGGUGAGAGGGAAGGAACAAAAGGAUGCGGGAAACUUGAAGGAAACCUCCCAACGGUCAGCUGAUCUGGGACAGGGACCGUUAAACACCUUAAUAAAAUAUUAACCACCAUCCCAUAUUACUCCUUUACCCCUAAACUAUUUCAAAGGCUUAAUAGUAAAAUAGAAUUACAACGAAGCCUGCUUUGCCAUUCAAUUGAUGUUUCUAAUAAGUGAUCCCAAGCAACAGGGUGGUGCAAAAGUUUACCUCAGAACUUUGACUUCACCUAAUCACCUAAUCAGAUCCAUAUCAAUUGAUUCACUUCAUGGUCGCAUACAUUGUAUGUCAUGUAUCUUAUGUUAGAUCUUUACAUGUUGUUGCACUAGAUGUUCAAUUCACCAUGGUAGAUGGUGCGAAAGUAUAUGUCAAUGAUAAAAAGAAUAAGGGUAAUUUGGCCAUCAAAGAGUGAUAAAAAAUCUUUUAUGCAAUUUUAAGGAAACUGUACUUGAUUUUUUUUCUUUUUUACUCCAGGUGAGUAAUGGAAAAUAGAAAUUUCGAAUUUCUUUACAUGGAGGUUGAUCUUGAAGGAAGAUCUUUUGUAUUUUUUAAGUUAAUAUUAUUAUAUAAUUCACAAAGGAGGUGGAAUUGGCAACAAGUAGACAGUCCCUAUCUGAAGGUUACUCCUCGAGACCAUCUAUAUCUUUCUUUCCCCCUCUCAGGUUUAGCCAGCCUGUUCUCUAGUGUCAGGAAGCUCUCAGACAAAUAUUGUGUUCUAUAAAGCUAAAGAUUGUCAGAUGUACUUCUUCUACAAGCUGUAGAGCCAUGAACAUCUUCUUUCCUGUAGAUUGGAGGUAUUGCAAAGGACUGAAUUGAAGAGAACUCAUGCUCAUUUAUUAUGAUUGGUGGUUUGCUAUUGACAUCCAUAUGAGGAAGAUGAAAAGUAAUAAGAUGCUGGGGAUGAUAUUGUAGAUCUACAUGUGUCUCAAAGUAUUUAUUGGAUGGGUUCUGUUUGAUCGACUGCAUAGUCUCUGUAGAGUAGCAAUUUUUAUUGCCUUUGUUCAGAGAUUCUCUGGGGCUAACAAUGAAAUGUUAAUUAUCUUUACACUUACAAUAUAAGGUGAAUUGUUAUUAUUAUUAUUUUUUUAAAGUUCCUUCUACUAUAUUAUGGAGAUUAGCAUCAAAUAUUGACUUGUUUAACAGUAUAGUGAUCUGGUUUUUAUAUAUAUAAUAAAAUACAAAAAGUUAAAGAUCGACGAUUAAUACUAAUCAGCAAUGAAUACAAAAUUUGUUGCUCACACUAUUUGCAAUACUAGAACUUAUUUUAAGCUACUCCUUAUUUACUUCUAUUGUUUAGUUACCACUCUGACUGAAACUGUCUGAAAUCAUGAUUAAUUGUUUCUCUUCCUCUAGAUCGACCAGCAAAGAGUAGCAGUCAAACGAUCCCAAUCCAUCCUUUUGCUUGUAAGAAUCCGACACUUGCCAUUUUGAACGAUAAAAGAAGUCUGAAUUAAUUAAAAAAUGUUUGCAACUGUCAUUGCCUUAUCAUAUAUUGUGCAUAGCAAUCUCCUCAUCUUUUUCUAGUAGGCUUGUGAUUUUACUUCUCAGUUUAAUACUAUGGAGGCUAGCAAUCUUUGCCGUUGCAAAUUUUUUCAAGUCCAUUCUUCUAAUGCCAACUCAAUUUUCAGUUCUUGCAUGACCCUAACAGCAUACAUGAGGCCCUUACCUUAUUGAAGCCUCCUAUGCACUGUGUUGCGUAUGGCCAAAUGAUCUAAACAAUUAUAUUUCUCAAAUUGGUAUUUCUGUGUCAUUACACACACACACGCACGCACGCACGCACGCACACACCAGUGCUACAGAACAGGUUUAUAAUUUUUUUUCUCUCAAUAUUUAUUUAAUCAUUCUAUGCAUUUGCUCUCGAUAUAUUGUCCCCAAUCUGAGGUGGAUGAAAUUGGUGGUGCUUCAAGUGUUCGGUCAUGCCACUGGAGCUCGAGAAAAUUUCUAUAUCAAAGCAUAAAUAGUGGAGAUUUUUAUUUUAAAAUGGUCUGCUAUAAUAUAAAUAAUGAUCAUUAUUUUUACAUGAACUUUUUUUCAAUAAAAUAUCAAUUUUUAAAAUCUUAAAUUUUUUAAUCAAAGUACCUAAGAUAAUUGUAGAGUCCAAAAAUAGUGUUAUUGUACAUUUAUAAAAGCCAUCACAGUAGUGAUUACUUAAUAUAAAAAUUUGAAAUGCUACUUUUUACAAAAAAAAAAGGCACUGGGAGGGGGGUGUAAAUUUGAAUGACAUCGCCGAAAAAAACUAAAGACCGAACUGAAUAGGAUGAGGAAAUGGGAAGAAAAUAUUCCCUUCCCACUUUUGUUAUAGAAUUAUAGAUAAAAUUAUAUGUUUCAAAUAAAUAAAAAAUUAAUCAUAGUUGUCUAUGUGUUGCAUGUGUCAAGAUCUUGCUUGAUAUAUCAAUCUGCUCCAAAUAAAAAUGUUUUAAGAUGAACUAUUUCUAGUAAUCAACUUGGUCAUGCUAAUAGAAACCCAACGUGAUUUAUUUAGGCCCAGAGGAAGGCUUCAGAAACUUCUUUAAUAGGCAGGGUUGCUAAUAACAGAGCUAAUCAUGUUUGGCCAACAAAGAUCUAUCCAUUAUCCAAUGAGAAAGUCUUUGUGCACCACAUGCGGUGCAAUAAAAUUGAUGUGGAGUGCGCCAUCCAAUUACCAUAUUGGAGCAUGUAGCCACCACUUUCUAACAUGCAUUUAAUAGUGUACUUAAUGCCUGCAGUUCUGCUUUUUGUUUAAAAUUGUGAAUAGCAAAAAUACCUUUUCUAUUCUGAAAGUUAUGACAUCCUGUGGCCAUAUUAUGACAUCCUACACUCAAAUUAUAACUUUUUGUAUACAAAAAGUUAUAAUUUUUUUUCAGAAGUCAUAAAGAGUGAAGAGCAUUUUCAUUAUUGAAAAUUUAUAAAAUUUUUAAAUGAUGAAAAUGCCCCUCCCUUCCUUAUGAUAUCUUGUGGCCAAAUUAUGAAUAGAAAGUCAUAAUUUAAUUGCAGAAUCUCAUAAUAUGGCUACAGGAUAUCAUAAUUUUUUCAAAAGAAGAAAGAUAUUUUUGUCAUUCAAAGUUUCAAAUGAAAAAGUGAAACUACAGGCAUUAAAUGCGCAUUGAAAAGUGGUAGCUACAUGAUCCAAUUAGAUGGGGCGGUGUAUUUUUUCUAUACUACGGUGUACAAAGAAUUACUCUUGUCCAACAGAGAGUCCAUCCUUUACCUAUAUGAAGUUUGAUAAGAUUAUUUUUGCAUGCUCCUUGUGAUGACUCUAAACCAUUUCCUUAGCGCAUACACAAAACCCAAAGCAAUGUUCUACCCUCAAACCUGGGCUUUUUGAUGCCAAAACCACUCAAAACAGUAUGAUACUCUUACCAUUCCAAGUUAUCUCAGCACUAAGACAGACAGAAUUCUGUUUGUUGUACCGGAAACUAUUUUGCUUGGUUCCCAACUUGGUGAGAUCUUAAGUAGGACCUCAAGGAACAAUGAAGUUGAACCUAAAGUGUCAACACUUAUAAAAGAGGCCAAGUUGAAAGAAACUAAUGGACCUUACUGGAGGAUGAGCUCCCGGUUUUGACCGGUCCCUAAUGUAAACAUCAAUGCCGAGCCCACUGUAUUCAGAAGCUCAUGUAUUAAAAACUUCAUCACUCUUUGCAUCCAUUUAGUCCCAGUAAUUGGAUGGAAAGUAGAAGUUAGUGUUCUUUUUGUCGAUCACAAAACAACCUGAUUUUGAUAGGUUUAUGAAGAAAUCUAAUCAGAAAAUGGUCUCACUAUCUAACUUUGUUCUCUUCAUAGUCUUAUUCCUAUUGAGUAUUUCUAUAAUGCCCUUGGAAUUUUACUAUAUUCAAAUGAUAUUACAAGAAUUCUGAGGAUUCAAAUUGCAUUGAUUGCAGAGAAGCGAGGGAGGAUCGUUUCAAGCAACUGACGUGCUUAACGAGAGAUGGAUGUGUGGAUGAGACAAUGACCAUACUAGGGUGGUAAGAUCACCAGUCUCCUUUCUUUCAAUCCUAAACUUCUACUCUUGACACCUAGAUUAGAAAGAAGAUAAAGGCUUUGAUAGUAAAGUCGCAGAGAAUGAGGUAUCUAUAUCAUCCAUCCUAUUUAUUGCUACUGGUUAAGUUAUUGCUCAGCUUGGUCAUGCUAGUAUCCUAAUAGAUGCUAUGAAACAAGAUGCUGAAGGAAAAAUAGCUUCUGUAUCUCUUCACCAUAAGCUUCAUAUAAACAUAUUUGCACUGCCUUACUCAUAUAGAUCUUUCUCUCUCUCUCUCUCUCUCUCUUCUGUCCUUCUUUGCAAGCACGUCAUCAUCUUUGUUUUUCCCAACAUAUGUUACAUCACGAUGGUAAAGUAAUACAUAACUUACAAAAAAGAAGCCUUGACUUUGAUAAUGUCAUCUGGUUUUUUUGGGGAAAAAGACUCUCAUACAGUUCUUCUUCAGUGUCGUUUGGUUGCUGGUUCUGUUGAGGCUACAUGGGCAUUGAAAACAGCUGGAUAUUGUAUAACUUUUGGAGGAUGUCUUUUGAUAGUUCUUGCUUUUCAGACGAUUACAUUUUCUCAUGUCUUUUAUAUUUGCAGUGCAUACACAUCUUUUGACCCAUGACCUCACCGAAAAAAGAUGUUGAUGUGCAUUUAGUCCCAUAUAGAAUAUAUGAGGAGAUCUUAGAUAUUUAUGCAAGACCAUGAAUUCUAAAUAAUAGUAUUUGACUAGCCAUUUUGGAUGAGAUUUGUGUUGUCAAAAUGACAUAACAAUCCCUGCAGAUGGGUUGAUAAAUCUGAAAGUGAUUAUAAUAGAAUUUGUGAUUACCAAAAUUGUUAAUCAAGUCGGUGACCAGUUUUUGGGCUUUUAGAAUUUUUCAAAGUGAAAGGGGGCCAUGAAGCACUGAAAUGUAGAUUUUCUUUUCUCUACUUCUAAAAUGGCACGUCUGUUUUUUUUUUCUUCUUCUUCUUCUUCUUCUUCUUCUUUUCAAAGAAGAAUCUAACAGGAGCUGAUGCAAUUAGGAUAAUGUGGGUAGAACUGAAGAAGUUUUUUCAUAUUUUACAUCAAGUAAUAGAGAUUGGCUUUUUUUGAAAAAUCUCGUUCCUCCUUUUGCUUUGGCAGUCUGGAUCUACCUUUGGAGCAUGCACUCCUUCAUGAUGGAGGGUGCUAACUACUCCUUAACAUGAAAGGAGAAAGCUCAGAUUGCAAAACAACCUCUUCAUAACAAAUUAUUUAUAGCAUAUAAUGCUAAUCGUUCAAACAUUUCCAUUUUGUUUCUCUUCCAUCACUCUUCUCGUUGUUUCAGAAAAAAAGACCAGUUCAGGCAGCGAGUGUCAUUGAUCAAUCAUGAAGUGUCUAAGAUGCACAAGAUGCCCCCAUAUGAAAAGCAAC
RNAcentral lists this long non-coding RNA (7074 nucleotides) under Elaeis guineensis (African oil palm). RNAcentral's name for it is "long non-coding RNA (EGUI_LNC028609)". The record is from RNAcentral. Lineage: Eukaryota; Viridiplantae; Streptophyta; Magnoliopsida; Arecales; Arecaceae.